GACGAACGCUGGCGGCGUGCUUAACACAUGCAAGUCGAACGGAAAGGCCCUGCUUUUGUGGGGUUCUCGAGUGGCGAACGGGUGAGUAACACGUGAGUAACCUGCCCUUGACUUUGGGAUAACUUCAGGAAACUGGGGCUAAUACCGGAUAGGAGCUCCUGCUGCAUGGUGGUGGUUGGAAAGUGUCGGCGUUUGUGGAUGGACUCGCGGGUUACCAGCUUGAUUGUGGGGUAGUGGCGUACGAAGGCUUUGACGGGUAGCCGGCCUGAGCGGGUGACCGGCGACAAUGGGACUAAGAUAGGGACCAGAAUGCUACGGGAGGCAGCAGUCGGGAAUAUUGCGCAAUGGGCGGAAGUCUGAUGCAGAAGCGCCGGGUGCGGGAUGACGGCCUUCGGGUUGUAAACAGCUUUCGACUGUGCCGAAGAGUGAGUGACGGUAAUGGGUAAAGAAGCAACGGCUAACUACGUG
Molecule: ribosomal RNA, 468 nt
Filed under: uncultured bacterium
Lineage: Bacteria
Description: partial 16S ribosomal RNA
Rfam family: Bacterial small subunit ribosomal RNA
Source: RNAcentral